This 506-nucleotide ribosomal RNA is filed under the name uncultured bacterium. RNAcentral describes it as "partial 16S ribosomal RNA". It matches the Rfam family "Bacterial small subunit ribosomal RNA", at positions 29 to 523 of the family's 1533-position model. The record is from RNAcentral.
AUUGCACGCUGGCGGCAGGCCUAACACAUGCAAGUCGAACGGCAGCACAGAAGAGCUUGCUCUUUGGGUGGCGAGUGGCGGACGGGUGAGUAAUGUCUGGGAAACUGCCCGAUGGAGGGGGAUAACUACUGGAAACGGUAGCUAAUACCGCAUAACGUCGCAAGACCAAAGUGGGGGACCUUCGGGCCUCACACCAUCGGAUGUGCCCAGAUGGGAUUAGCUAGUAGGUGGGGUAAUGGCUCACCUAGGCGACGAUCCCUAGCUGGUCUGAGAGGAUGACCAGCCAAACUGGAACGGAGACACGGUCCAGACUCCUACGGGAGGCAGCAGUGGGGAAUAUUGCACAAUGGGCGCAAGCCUGAUGCAGCCAUGCCGCGUGUAUGAAGAAGGCCUUCGGGUUGUAAGGUACUUUCAGCGGGGAGGAAGGCGGUGAGGUUAAUAACCUUGCCGAUUGACGUUACCCGCAGAAGAAGCACCGGCUAACUCCGUGCCAGCCGCCGCCGUAA